RNAcentral lists this long non-coding RNA (619 nucleotides) under Cricetulus griseus (Chinese hamster). Its description in RNAcentral is "lncRNA (ENSCGRG00015008234.2)". Lineage: Eukaryota; Metazoa; Chordata; Mammalia; Rodentia; Cricetidae. The record is from RNAcentral.
CUUCUGGAUAGCUGCACAGCUGAACAUGAAGGGUGCUACUGUGACUUGGAAAAGUGACUCAAUAGUGCUGCUUGGGGACAGUAGAAUCUUCCAAAGGGGGAACACCUAUGCAACGGCAUGCAUGGGAAGGCCAGACGACCACACGACUUCACAGACCCAGAUCAUGCCGGCUAGGAAGAAAGUGCCGUUCCCGGCUGAGCCAUCUCACUAGCUCCAGAUUUUCCUCUUGCAGAUGUUGAAAUGUUUUGCGAUAGAUUAUUAGAUGUUUGGUAUGCAUUAUCCUGUCUCUAGAAUUUUGUCUUUAAGUUUCCAAAUGCCGAAAAGUGGAAUCAAAAGGAAAGAGCAAACAGCAAAGACCAUUUAAUGAAAACGUCUUAGAGUCUACUCCUAUAGGUUUGGUGUCUUGGGGUAAUUUAUUAACUCUCCUUUGCAUAGGCCAGACUGAUCAUGUCCACUGGCUGCCAGAGCAGAAAAGUGUUUCAGAUGGCAUGAUACCCGUCAUCCUCUGGACUGCCUUACAGGGGCCUCCAUAAACCUUUCUUUCCUUCUGGUAGAGGUGUCAUUCACAAAGGCUGGAAGGAAAUGGAGCUAUGGGGAGGCGGGGAGAGGACACUCCAAG